RNAcentral lists this ribosomal RNA (158 nucleotides) under Scutellaria baicalensis. RNAcentral's name for it is "5.8S ribosomal RNA". It matches the Rfam family "5.8S ribosomal RNA". From Rfam's summary of the family: 5.8S ribosomal RNA (5.8S rRNA) is a component of the large subunit of the eukaryotic ribosome. It is transcribed by RNA polymerase I as part of the 45S precursor that also contains 18S and 28S rRNA. Functionally, it is thought that 5.8S rRNA may be involved in ribosome translocation. Lineage: Eukaryota; Viridiplantae; Streptophyta; Magnoliopsida; Lamiales; Lamiaceae. The record is from RNAcentral.
AUGACUCUCGGCAAUGGAUAUCUCGGCUCUCGCAUCAAUGAAGAACGUAGUGAAAUGUGAUACUUAGUUUGAAUUACAGAAUCCUGUGAACCAUCUAGUCAUUGAACGCAAGUUGCGCCAGAAGCCAUCAGGCCGAGGGCACGUCUGCCUGGACGUCA